This 253-nucleotide ribosomal RNA is filed under the name uncultured bacterium. Its description in RNAcentral is "partial 16S ribosomal RNA". It matches the Rfam family "Bacterial small subunit ribosomal RNA", at positions 524 to 776 of the family's 1533-position model. The record is from RNAcentral.
UACGAAGGGGACUAGCGUUGUUCGGAAUCACUGGGCGUAAAGCGCACGUAGGCGGGUUCUUAAGUCAGGGGUGAAAUCCUGGAGCUCAACUCCAGAACUGCCUUUGAUACUGGGAAUCUCGAGUCCGGGAGAGGUGAGUGGAACUGCGAGUGUAGAGGUGAAAUUCGUAGAUAUUCGCAAGAACACCAGUGGCGAAGGCGGCUCACUGGCCCGGUACUGACGCUGAGGUGCGAAAGCGUGGGGAGCAAACAGG